UACGGAGGGGGCUAGCGUUGUUCGGAAUUACUGGGCGUAAAGCGCGCGUAGGCGGACCUGCAAGUCGGGGGUGAAAGCCCGAGGCUCAACCUCGGAACUGCCUUCGAUACUGCGGGUCUCGAGUCCGGGAGAGGUGAGUGGAAUUCCUAGUGUAGAGGUGAAAUUCGUAGAUAUCGAGAAGAACACCGGUGGCGAAGGCGGCCAUCUGGACGGUGACUGACGCUGAGACGCGAAAGCGUGGGGAGCAAACAGG
RNAcentral lists this ribosomal RNA (253 nucleotides) under uncultured bacterium. RNAcentral's name for it is "partial 16S ribosomal RNA". It matches the Rfam family "Bacterial small subunit ribosomal RNA", at positions 524 to 776 of the family's 1533-position model. The record is from RNAcentral.